RNAcentral lists this transfer RNA (75 nucleotides) under Fluviispira sanaruensis. RNAcentral describes it as "Silvanigrellales bacterium RF1110005 tRNA-Arg". It matches the Rfam family "tRNA". From Rfam's summary of the family: Transfer RNA (tRNA) molecules are approximately 80 nucleotides in length. Their secondary structure includes four short double-helical elements and three loops (D, anti-codon, and T loops). Further hydrogen bonds mediate the characteristic L-shaped molecular structure. tRNAs have two regions of fundamental functional importance: the anti-codon, which is responsible for specific mRNA codon recognition, and the 3' end, to which the tRNAs corresponding amino acid is attached (by aminoacyl-tRNA synthetases). tRNAs cope with the degeneracy of the genetic code in two manners: having more than one tRNA (with a specific anti-codon) for a particular amino acid; and 'wobble' base-pairing, i.e. permitting non-standard base-pairing at the 3rd anti-codon position. The record is from RNAcentral. RNAcentral also lists the same sequence under 4 other names. Lineage: Bacteria; Pseudomonadati; Bdellovibrionota; Oligoflexia; Silvanigrellales; Silvanigrellaceae.
GGACCCAUGGUGAAGUGGAUAUCACGUAGGCCUCCGAAGCCUGAAGCGCAAGUUCGAUUCUUGCUGGGUCCGCCA